Molecule: ribosomal RNA, 428 nt
Filed under: uncultured bacterium
Lineage: Bacteria
Description: partial 16S ribosomal RNA
Rfam family: Bacterial small subunit ribosomal RNA
Source: RNAcentral
GUGGGGAAUAUUGCGCAAUGGGGGCAACCCUGACGCAGCAACGCCGCGUGAGUGAAGAAGGUUUUAGGAUUGUAAAGCUCUGUCUUUGGGGACGAAACAAAUGACGGUACCCAAGGAGGAAGCCCCGGCUAACUACGUGCCAGCAGCCGCGGUAAUACGUAGGGGGCAAGCGUUGUCCGGAAUUACUGGGCGUAAAGGGCACGCAGGCGGUAUAAUAAGUCAGAUGUGAAAGUUUACAGCUUAACUGUGAAAGUGCAUUUGAAACUGAUAUACUUGAGUCUCGGAGAGGUAAGCGGAAUUCCUAGUGUAGCGGUGAAAUGCGUAGAUAUUAGGAGGAACACCGGUGGCGAAGGCGGCUUACUGGACGAGUACUGACGCUCAUGUGCGAAAGCGUGGGGAGCAAACAGGAUUAGAUACCCGUGUAGUCC